UGGGGAAUUUUGGACAAUGGGCGAAAGCCUGAUCCAGCCAUGCCGCGUGAGUGAAGAAGGCCUUCGGGUUGUAAAGCUCUUUUAGUCGGAAAGAAAGAGUUGCAAUGAAUAAUUGUGAUUUAUGACGGUACCGACAGAAAAAGCCCCGGCUAACUACGUGCCAGCAGCCGCGGUAAUACGUAGGGGGCAAGCGUUGUCCGGAUUUACUGGGUGGAAAGGGCGCGCAGGCGGGAUAAAAAGUCAGUGGUGAAAUCCUACAGCUUAACUGUAGAACUGCCUUUGNUACUUUUAUUCUUGAGUUCGGGAGAGAGAGACGGAAUUCCAGGUGUAGUGGUGAAAUACGUAGAUAUCUGGAAGAACACCAGUUGCGAAGGCGGUCUCUUGGUCCGACACUGACGCUGAGGCGCGAAAGCGUGGGGAGCAAACA
This 427-nucleotide ribosomal RNA is filed under the name uncultured bacterium. Its description in RNAcentral is "bacterial SSU rRNA". It matches the Rfam family "Bacterial small subunit ribosomal RNA", at positions 355 to 774 of the family's 1533-position model. The record is from RNAcentral.